UGGUUCAACGCCUCCCUGUGUGUUUGGCUCCUAAGGUAGACGCCAAAACAGAGACGUGAGGACUUUACCAGAUCUUUUACACAAUCGAUUUCAACUUUCACACACAAUGGCAGUUAGUUUAUCGUGUACAUUUUGAGAUUUUUUGUUUCGCAUUUUUAUUGUAAUGAGUAACAAUACAUACCUGCGUUUUGUCUUCUUUUACAGCUUCUUUUUCUUUUUCAUCUGUUCUUUCUUGACUUUCCGAUUCACCUUCUUCUUUUAUUUCAACCAAGUCGCCAUUCUUCGCUUUCUUGUUUUUCUUCUCUUUCUUUUUCUUUUCUUUCUUUUGUUUUGGUUUAGCUACGGGCCGUUGAUCAAGAUCCUCAUCUGCAGCGGCUAUUUCUUUUGAA
Hydractinia symbiolongicarpus is the source of this 389-nucleotide long non-coding RNA. RefSeq lists it as uncharacterized. The record is from RefSeq and is a predicted model, not a curated record. Lineage: Eukaryota; Metazoa; Cnidaria; Hydrozoa; Anthoathecata; Hydractiniidae. The transcript is spliced from 2 exons.